This 412-nucleotide ribosomal RNA is filed under the name uncultured bacterium. RNAcentral describes it as "bacterial SSU rRNA". It matches the Rfam family "Bacterial small subunit ribosomal RNA", at positions 355 to 781 of the family's 1533-position model. The record is from RNAcentral.
UGGGGAAUCUUGGACAAUGGGGGCAACCCUGAUCCAGCCAUGCCGCGUGAGUGAUGAAGGCCUUAGGGUCGUAAAGCUCUUUCGCCUGUGAAGAUAAUGACGGUAGCAGGUAAAGAAACCCCGGCUAACUCCGUGCCAGCAGCCGCGGUAAUACGGAGGGGGUUAGCGUUGUUCGGAAUUACUGGGCGUAAAGCGCACGUAGGCGGACCAGAAAGUUGGGGGUGAAAUCCCGGGGGCUCAACCCCGGAACUGCCUCCAAAACUAUUGGUCUAGAGUUCGAGAGAGGUGAGUGGAAUUCCAAGUGUAGAGGUGAAAUUCGUAGAUAUUUGGAGGAACACCAGUGGCGAAGGCGGCUCACUGGCUCGAUACUGACGCUGGAGGUGCGAAAAGUGUGGGGAGCAAACAGGAUUAG